CACUCGGGAAUAGCUUUCGAAAGAAAGAUUAAUGUCCGAUGGUACUGGUUUCUCGCAUGAGAGACUUUUUAAAGAAUUUCGGUGGAAGAUGGGGAUGCGUUCCAUUAGGCAGUUGGCGGGGUAACGGCCCACCAAACCGACGAUGGAUAGGGGUUCUGAGAGGAAGGUCCCCCACAUUGGAACUGAGACACGGUCCAAACUCCUACGGGAGGCAGCAGUGAGGAAUAUUGGUCAAUGGACGAGAGUCUGAACCAGCCAAGUAGCGUGAAGGAUGACUGCCCUAUGGGUUGUAAACUUCUUUUAUACGGGAAUAAAGUGAAGCACGUGUGCUUUUUUGUAUGUACCGUAUGAAUAAGGAUCGGCUAACUCCGUGCCAGCAGCCGCGGUAAUACGGAGGAUCCGAGCGUUAUCCGGAUUUAUUGGGUUUAAAGGGAGCGUAGGCGGAAGUUUAAGUCAGUUGUGAAAGUUUGCGGCUCAACCGUAAAAUUGCAGUUGAUACUGGAUUUCUUGAGUGCGGUAUAGGUAGGCGGAAUUCGUGGUGUAGCGGUGAAAUGCUUAGAUAUCACGAAGAACUCCGAUUG
Molecule: ribosomal RNA, 581 nt
Filed under: uncultured Bacteroides sp.
Lineage: Bacteria; Pseudomonadati; Bacteroidota; Bacteroidia; Bacteroidales; Bacteroidaceae
Description: bacterial SSU rRNA
Rfam family: Bacterial small subunit ribosomal RNA
Source: RNAcentral